This is a long non-coding RNA of Mustela lutreola (European mink), 2939 nucleotides long. RefSeq lists it as uncharacterized. NCBI's taxonomy places the organism in Eukaryota, Metazoa, Chordata, Mammalia, Carnivora, Mustelidae. The record is from RefSeq and is a predicted model, not a curated record. The transcript has 2 exons.
GCUGGAACUCUCCGGUCUGGCGUCGCCGCCCGCCGCCUGAAGGGGGUGCGCAGCGGUGGGAGCCGCCGUCGCCGCUGUCACCGAGCCGCUGUCGCCGCCGCCGCCGCCGCUGCCGGUUGUGCAAGCAGAAUCCUGAGGCAAGGAUGCAAGAGCGGAAAGUUGAUCUGGAAGUGAAGGUAGGAGGCCCUCAGGAAGUGACAGCUGGUCAGGAUUCUCUCCCCUCACGUUCGUGCUUGGGGCUCUUAGUCUGAAGGAGCUUCAGUACCCCUUACCUACUGCAAGUCUUACAACCUCCUUUUCCAUGUGGAGGAACAGGUGGAUGGACUGGGCUGGGAGCCGUGUGUCACCGGAGGCUACCAGCGUUUGUCCAAAUGAGUGGAGAGCCCAGGACCUGCGAAGCGAGAAGCCAGGUCGCAUGAAACGAAGUAAGAGCAUGUUUAUCCGCGGAAAAAAAAGACCGGAAACAAAAACUAAAGCCGGGAGAGAAAUCUGAAGUCACGGGGCAUGAAAUAAUAGGCAGUGGAUUUUGAUUAAGUGGAAAAUAGACUCCAAUUUGGUUUUGGAGAGCUAAAUUAUUUUGCUGGAUGGGAAAAUACUGGCAGCAAUCACACGAGUGUGUCUGAAAUACUGGCGCAUAAAGGACCAAGAAUAGGCUGGCUCAGAGAUGACCCCACGCACCCCAGCCUUCUGACGGGGAAAAUGACUUUCGGUAGAGAAACACACAUGCACACGCGUGUGCGCGCACACACACACACACACACACACACACCCUUUACAUAAGCCAAGUCCUCCUCUCUUUCCUCUCGUCUUUCCAGGUGCCAGACUUGCCUUUCCUUUUUUAAAAAUUUAUUCACAAACGAACCAGAUUGAUCUCUCGGUAAGAAAGGGAAGCUCGUCAAAGUUGCCCUGGGGUGUCAAUGAGCGCUGACAAUCAGACUAUUAUCCCAAGCACUCGCAGCAGGUACCUGCGGAGACGCUCCCCGAGAGCAGUGGGAGACGAGGAGCCGCGGCUCCUCAACAUCCCAUGCCGGGCGUCCCCCAUGCCGGGCACUGUGGCGACAGCAAGGGUCCCUCUCCGCCAUCCCUCGGAAGAAGAGCCGCGGGGGGCUUUCUCAGCGGCAACCCACGGGCUGUUGGGAGCGAUGACCUCCCUCACAGACACACCCAUGGGACCGGGCCAGCGGGCAGGUCACGGACAGACGGACGCGGGCCGCAACUUCACGGGGAGCCACACCCCAGGUGACGGCGUGCUCCUGCCACCCCCUCCCAUGCCGGGAUGGCCCACCGGGUUUGUCCCGAUGCCCGCAUGGCCAGUCUCUCCAACGUGACUGACAAGGUUUCUCUUGCUGUACGAAGCUCCGGAGGUGAAAGGCCUCGACAAGGUCAUGCAUUUUGGGAGAGCGCAUCAGUGUGUGGCACGGAGUGGACUUGAAUCGUGCUGUCUGUCCUUAGCUGAGACGAUUCCUCCGAUCAGUGCACUGUAGGAACAAUGUCACAGAAGGAGGAAACAGAAUGAGAGUAAGGUGUCUCUCGCUAGGACGGCUAGCAGUUUUCGUCGCUGUUCUUUGCCUUGGUGGCUCCUGGGCCGGGUCAGCAUCGGAGCUCUCGGGACACGACUCACCAUCAGCCCCUGCCCACCCCGGCCCCUCGCAGGGGGACUCUCCGAGGCUUGUGGGCCCCGAUUUCCGACCCACACCAGCAGUGGCUGGCUCUGACACGAAGCUGGCUUCUUCCGUCUGAGCCCCUUGUGUGCCCGAGCCAUCGCUCGGCCCCUGAGACCGGCAUUCCCCGGUCAUCCUCUCCGUGACCCCAGCCCUAGGAUGACACUUGUGGGCCUCUUUCUCUGCGUGGCUCUCAGGCCUUCCACGGAACGUGGAUCUCCGCCUCCUGAUCCCACUCCCUCGGCCUGGGAUGGCCAGAUGGCUGUCCACACGGGACAGAGCUGGUUUCUGCGACGCUGACAUCCUGCCUUCCGCGGAAUGCCCCAAACCUUGACAAGAGUAUUUGCAUGAAUUGUGGACUACCACCAGCCUGGACCAUCUCCUACACUCCUAUUAGCUGGGUCUUCAUUACAGAUUUACAGUGAUUGUUUCUGUCUUUUUGAAGCACAAACAUUUUACUCACAGAUAAGGUGACCUUUUGAAAACUACAGUAUUGCUUUAGAAAAAAAUCAUAAUUAAUAUGAAAAUAUUUUAGAAUACAUAUAACUUAUUCUUUUCAGAUGAUUUUUCAUUGUAACAUUCAUUAAGAAUUAUAUAUAACUAAAACGGCCUAUUCUAUCUUCAGUAUAAACAUUCAAUCAUAACCCCUCUCAAUGGUUGAUUAUAUAUUCCCUUCAGGUUUUUCUCUCUAUAGCAUUUACCCAUCUGAAAUAAUAUUAGAUAUGAUUUUACUCCUAUUUUUGCCUCUUAAUAACUUCAACUAAUAUACAUUUCCCAUAGCUUCCUAAUAUUACAUAAUCAAAAUAGACAUUUUCGAUGGUUCCGUGAACAAUUUUAUCAAGUACAUUCAUCACCAUAUAGUUAGCUUUUCCCCUACUGUUGGGAGCGUAGGCUAUUUCCAAAUUCUGCUGUUGUAAUGAACACUACAAUUACUUUCUUUGUGUAUAUCAAGGUUCCCAUUAAUAAUUAUUUCUCAGAAUAAAUACAUAGCUGUAAUAUUUCUGGGACAGACUCAGAAACACUUAUAUGUUGCCAAACUGAUUUUAAAAAGGAUAUUCCACUAACUCCAAGUGUGAGCUCUGAGAGUACUUGCCUUGUGAGUACUUACCGGCCUAGGCCAAAAUAUUUGUUUUAUUUUGUCUUAAACUAUAUUCACUGAUUACUAGGGAGAUGGGCCAUUUUUGUGCUUUCUACUUGUACACCUAAGGAAUAUUUGUAUACUUUGUCAGUUUAUUUCUUUCACAUACUUACUAAUUAAAUAAGAGUAUUUGCAUCUUA